Molecule: ribosomal RNA, 490 nt
Filed under: uncultured bacterium
Lineage: Bacteria
Description: partial 16S ribosomal RNA
Rfam family: Bacterial small subunit ribosomal RNA
Source: RNAcentral
GAUGAACGCUAGCUACAGGCUUAACACAUGCAAGUCGCAGGGUAACAUGAGGAAAGCUUGCUUUCCUUGAUGCCGACUGGCGCACGGGUGAGUAACGCGUAUCCAACCUUCCCAUAACUACGGGAUAACCCGUUGAAAGACGGCCUAAUACCGUAUGAUAUCGUUUGCUGACAUCAAAUAACGAUUAAAGGUUUAGCGGUUAUGGAUGGGGAUGCGUCUGAUUAGCUUGUUGGCGGGGUAACGGCCCACCAAGGCGACGAUCAGUAGGGGUUCUGAGAGGAAGGUCCCCCACAUUGGAACUGAGACACGGUCCAAACUCCUACGGGAGGCAGCAGUGAGGAAUAUUGGUCAAUGGGCGAGAGCCUGAACCAGCCAAGUAGCGUGCAGGACGACGGCCCUAUGGGUUGUAAACUGCCUUUAUGUGGGGAUAAAGUGCGUGACGUGUCAUGCAUUGCAGGUACCACAUGAAUAAGGACCGGCUAAUUCCGUG